AGAACGAACGCUGGCGGCAGGCCUCAAACAUGCAAGUCUAGGGGGUGUAGCAAUACAUCACCGGCGGACGGGUGCGUAACACGUGGGAAUAUACCUUUCGGUACGGAACAACUGCGGGAAACUGCAGCUAAUACCGUAUACGUCCUAGCGGAGAAAGAUUUAUCGCCGAAGGAUUAGCCCGCGUUCGAUUAGCUAGUUGGUGAGGUAAUGGCUCACCAAGGCGACGAUCGAUAGCUGUUCUGAGAGGAAGAUCAGCCACACUGGGACUGAGACACGGCCCAGACUCCUACGGGAGGCAGCAGUUGGAAUCUUGGACAAUGGGGGAAACCCUGAUCCAGCCAUGCCGCGUGAGUGAUGAAGGCCUUCGGGUUGUAAAACUCUUUCGACGGGACGAUAAUGACGGUACCCGUAGAAGAAGCUCCGGCUAACUUCGUGCCAGCAGCCGC
RNAcentral lists this ribosomal RNA (446 nucleotides) under uncultured bacterium. RNAcentral describes it as "SSU rRNA". It matches the Rfam family "Bacterial small subunit ribosomal RNA", at positions 26 to 518 of the family's 1533-position model. The record is from RNAcentral.